RNAcentral lists this ribosomal RNA (212 nucleotides) under uncultured bacterium. RNAcentral's name for it is "partial 16S ribosomal RNA". It matches the Rfam family "Bacterial small subunit ribosomal RNA", at positions 1289 to 1500 of the family's 1533-position model. The record is from RNAcentral.
CAGUUCGGAUUGUAGUCUGCAACUCGACUACAUGAAGCUGGAAUCGCUAGUAAUCGCGGAUCAGAAUGCCGCGGUGAAUACGUUCCCGGGUCUUGUACACACCGCCCGUCACACCAUGGGAGUCGGAAAUGCCCGAAGUCUGUGACCCAACCGGAAGGAAGGAGCAGCCGAAGGCAGGUCUGAUGACUGGGGUGAAGUCGUAACAAGGUACC